RNAcentral lists this ribosomal RNA (301 nucleotides) under uncultured bacterium. RNAcentral describes it as "partial 16S ribosomal RNA". It matches the Rfam family "Bacterial small subunit ribosomal RNA", at positions 509 to 807 of the family's 1533-position model. The record is from RNAcentral.
CAGUAGCCGCGGGAAUACGUAGGUGGCAAGCGCUGUCCGGAAUUAUUGGGCGUAAAGGGCUCGCAGGCGGUUUCUUAAGUCUGAUGUGAAAGCCCCCGGCUCAACCGGGGAGGGUCAUUGGAAACUGGGAAACUUGAGUGCAGAAGAGGAGAGUGGAAUUCCACGUGUAGCGGUGAAAUGCGUAGAGAUGUGGAGGAACACCAGUGGCGAAGGCGACUCUCUGGUCUGUAACUGACGCUGAGGAGCGAAAGCGUGGGGAGCGAACAGGAUUAGAUACCCCGGUAGUCCCUGUCUCUUAUAC